CCCCUUGAACACUGAGCAGAAGGCUGGGGCUGAAGGAGGCAGUGUAGAGGGAAAGGCAGGCUGGAGGAGAGGCAGGGAGAGGGAGAGCCGGGCACGGGGUAGGGUGCUCUGAGGCCGGGGGGUUAGGGGAAUGACGGGGCCUGGGGGAGGCUGGGGGGGUGAGGGGGGAAGUGUGAAGGUGGGAUGGCAGGGUGGCACAUGCAGGGAAACCCAGCUAAGGUGGGAGAAAGGUGCAGAGGGUGGAGGCUGAGAAGAGGCCACGAUGAAGAUACUAUAGCUGGAGGAGGGAUGAAGAAGGCCAGGUAGGAAAGAUAAGGUGAUAGCAAAGAAAAACUGGGAACUGGGAGAAAGAGUCAGCUGAGACUAGGGUGCCAAGGGGUUGAAAAGGAUAGAAAUAUAUUACUUUUCCCGCUUAGAAAUGGUGGUUAGGUGUAGGAAAAGACAGUAUUUAAACUGAGGAUGAUGUCUAAAAGUUAGGUUAAGGCAUAGAAACUAGACUAAACAGGGGCCAAAGAGGGAAAAAGAUAGGUAGCAAGACAACCACAGAGCAAAACAGAAAAAGCUCAAAGAAAAGCAUUUUUCUAGCAGUAGGAGUCUGUUGGAGGGUCCGUUUUCCUUUUCCUGCCAUGGAUGUAAUGCUGGUUUGGACAGCAGCGGGUGACGUCCAAUCAGACAACAGGACUGCAGGCCUUGUCAUAAUGACAACCAUGACAUCACUGCAAGGGCUAGCGGAGAGAAGACAGCGGAGCUCCAGACAGACAGCGGGGCACCGCGGGGCUGCACGCCGGCCAAAGCGCGCCGGCUGCGGUAUCGAAACCGCGCGGACUACCGAGAGGAGGGGAAGAAUAUGCGGAGGCUGCUGCCGGUUGGACUCUUUCACGGCCGGCGCAUGGAGCUCUGCCUACCCCCGGACAGGCUCGAGGCAGCUUCACCGGGGGGCGAAGCGGGAGGAAGAUGUGGAGGAGGUUGAGAGAAACAGCAUCUUGUUUUAUUUCAACACGAGAGGAAGACAACUCCCAAACUGGCAUGACGUAACAGAAGAGUGAAGAUGCAACCAAGAGACCAGGACACUGCAUGAACCGGAUGGCAAAUGGGGACCGAGGGGAAAUGAAAGCAGCUUUGCCAAAGCUUAACCCAAAGGCCCUUUGUUAGAGGGUAGUAGGAAGUAUAUGAGGUUCACAUUUGAUAACAGGUGGAGACCUGGUGAUCUGGAGCCAAAUUGUUGGAGAGAAGAGAGGAACUCAGGACAGGAAAACUGUGAUAAUUCCGAGGGCAGGCGGCUGCUGUAAUCUCCACUGUUCAAUUAGCGGCACUGACCAGGACACCACCUACACUUCAUUAACAGGGUGUGGGGAAGCAGACAUCCUGGAGGUGUGUGGUUUUCAUAUUAUAGCAGUCUGACUACGGCAGAGAGUGAGAGACAGUAAGACAGAGGUGCUGCUGAUGGUGUAACACCAAAACCAACAGGAGUACAGGAGAUGGAGAAGAUGCUGACAUUUCACACACACGCGCGCACACACACACGGCAGUAAACCAAAGCUUGCUGUCAGUGGUGUGAGUCAUUUCCAGGUGAAGCAAACUGAAUUAAACUGAAUCAAGCUGAACUGAUCUGAACUGGAAUUACCUGAACUGAACUGAAAAGAAGAAGGUUUCAGCCGGACAGGACACACACCUCUCUGAGGUUUUGGGAACAGUUUUGGCAGAGGGUAGAGGAAUGUCUUCAAAUAAUACAGAUGAAAACCAAACAUUUAUACAUGUUGUUUCUGGGGGGUUUCCUUGCUUGACUUAUCAUAUGUGGUAUUUAUUUACAUUUAUAUACUGUUCUGUAAUGUGAAUUAAACAUUUCAACUGCAGAUUUUGACACUGUACAAUAUCAAUCUCUUGUGUAUAUUUUCUUAAUUAAUCAAAAAUACAAUAAAACUUUGUGCCAAUGUCCAUCUAGCUUAUUUUUACAAUUACUAAUUUGGCAGAUGAAGCAACUCUGGAUUCAGUAUCUUGGCCAAGGACACUUCGACAUGCAGACAGGAGGAGCCAGGGACCAAACCGCCAAACCCUGCGAUCAGUGGAGAACAACGAGCACCCAUCCAUUAAAGACUUAUCCUUCAGUUGAGAGCCAGUGUUUUCACUCUCUCACAUUGUCCGUUGUGGCUUCAAAACAGUGACCAAAGGUCAGAUGUCUCACUCACUACACUACAGAGCCAGAUUUCUUACAUGUAACUUUAUAUAUGCCAUAUACCUCAAUGAAGGGUCAUAAUGGAGUAAAGAACAUUAUAAAAAUAAAAGUCUAAAGCCACUGUAACUAUAGUUUCUUUUACCCACAGCCAGAAGAAUUGCUUCAGUUUCUAGAUAUUUAUUAUAGAGAUUUGGGGAAGUCACAUAUCUCACUUUGUCUUUUAAAUGAAGCUUUUUAAAAUCAGUUUUAAUUUUGUCACAAAUUUCACACGUUUAAAGAUGCAUCCUGAACAGAGUAUCAGGACUGUUCCAGAAUUGCAUGAGAAACUAGCACAACACUGCUUUUUGGUGAAACACACACAUCUUCAACUUUGCUGAUUUUUACAUAUUCAGUGAAGUUGAAGGUUUACAAGCAAAAAACUUCUCUUUUAUACCACUCUUGUUUCAAAAUCCUUCCCAAACUUAUUAGAUUAUCUAAAAACUGCAUUAAAAUACAGCUACACAAAGCUUGGUUAUUACUGUGGUAUUAAUAUUUGAGCAUAUUUGGAGUAUUUGUAUUCCUAAUAUGCACAAAUAUUUAAAUAUCAGUCAAAUUAGUUUAAACAAACAGGUAAGUUUGUACCCAGUGGAUUUUCUCACAUGCUGCCCAUGUGUCUUUGUGAAAAGCUGUUUUGAACUUAUUUCAUACACAUUCAAUAAAGAUGAAACUAUUCAGUCAAAGCUU
This is a long non-coding RNA of Lates calcarifer (barramundi perch), 2896 nucleotides long. RefSeq lists it as uncharacterized. The record is from RefSeq and is a predicted model, not a curated record. Lineage: Eukaryota; Metazoa; Chordata; Actinopteri; Centropomidae. The transcript has 8 exons.